RNAcentral lists this long non-coding RNA (1050 nucleotides) under Phasianus colchicus (ring-necked pheasant). Its description in RNAcentral is "lncRNA (ENSPCLG00000010710.1)". Lineage: Eukaryota; Metazoa; Chordata; Aves; Galliformes; Phasianidae. The record is from RNAcentral.
CUGUCAGGUAUUAUGCUGCAGCAUGGCUGUGAAUGUGGAUUAGGGAGAGAACAGCAGCCUUCCGCCUCUGCCAUGCAGAGACAGGACCACAUACAACCAAUACCAGCCUCAGUUCCUGGGAGAAUUCAGCUCAAACCCUCAACGUGAAGCAGGUAGAGCCUCUGAAUUUUGGUUAUACCAGCCAGGACCAUACCCCAAAGAGUGCAGUCACGAAGAAUCCACCUUCACAUGCCUUAGAAGCCUCCCUGACUGAGAAGGCAGGGCUGCCAAGCAGCCAGGAAGGGGUUAAGGGGCAACUUCACCCGGGGCUUUGCAGGCUUAAAAGGAAGGGGCGGGAGGGGUUCUUUCCUCUCGUAAUGGAGGGAAGACUGUGAUGUGUCUGCGGCUCUGCAGAGCUGGAAGUUAGUGUGGCUUUUUCCAUGCCGAAGUUCCAGCAACCUGCUGGCAAGAUUGCUGUGAGCCAUGGUCCGAGUCUCAGUGCUAUCUGGAGAUGGGGAUGCUCUCUACCAACGAAGGGGACACCUGAACCCAGGUGCACUGCUCAGAAGUUUCAGGAAAAGCACGCUGAUUUCCUUUCUGCCUGGAGUGAAGCUUGGUGUGCAUGGGGAUGCUCAGAGACAGGAUUUAAGAAAGGCAAAGGCAUCCCGAAUCCUUCGUGCUCCCUGGGAACACACAAGCACAACUGCUCUCUGUCACAAUCAGUUCUGGGAUUGCUGCUCCCUCCCAUUUUUCCCAUGGUGGAUUCCAGUCUGACCACAAACUGCAGAUCUUGUUCUGUUUAUUGGUUGCAGGAUGACCAAGAGUCCUGAGGAGGGCUCCUUGCUGCAGGAUGGUCCUCGCUGCCCAGUGUGCAGGUGCUUGUAAAACCACAGGCUGUGAGCGUGGUAUUAGCAAGCAUUAGUGGAGCUUUUGUGUCAUCUCCAGGGAAGAGCUGAGCACAUUGAAGGCAGAAGACAGAUGUCAUUCAGAGGUUAAGUCACUCCUGGACAUGUUCAGAGCUCGUAACUACAGCUGGGGUUGAAACUUUUUGUCCAAAACUUUUCUUUCAUU